RNAcentral lists this long non-coding RNA (1094 nucleotides) under Oryctolagus cuniculus (rabbit). RNAcentral describes it as "lncRNA (ENSOCUG00000035827.1)". Lineage: Eukaryota; Metazoa; Chordata; Mammalia; Lagomorpha; Leporidae. The record is from RNAcentral.
AUGGAGCCUGGGGCUGGCACACCUUUGGCACAAGUCCAGCCUGGGGAAAGCUGGGGGCCCUACAUUCCUGGUAACUGGUUUCUCAGAAGCUCCGGUUCCCAAAAGCAAAUGCUUUCAGAAUGGGAAACUCCCCGGUCCAAUCCUGAGCCAGCUUCCCCAGAGCCCACGCAUACCCCCAGAAUAAAUACAGCCCCUGCCAGCCGCCUCCUCCGCACCUCCACGCAGCCUCCCCGGGAAGAGCGGGCCUGCAGCAGCUCCACCAUGAAACUCCUCGCCAUCCUGCUGCUGGCCAGCCUGGCCUCCACCUCCCUUGCUGUCCUGCAAGUGCCAGAAGACAAACUCGCGCCUGAACACCCAAACGCCCGUGAGUGUCCCGCUGACAUCCCUGUUAGAGGAAGUGGGUGGCGGGGCAAGGUUGUCCAGUAAAGCAUGAACUCUCCCCCGGGGGACACAGUGCUGCAGACAGAGCCCCUCCUGGCUUGAGCCUUCCUGAUGCACUCACUGGCCAAGGUCUCCAGGCCAGGAAUCAGUGGAGCUGCACCACAGGUGCAGUCCUUGACAGAGUAGGUAGAGGAGACCCCUGAUGGCCUGGUGAGGACUCAGAUGGGUGAAUAGGAAGACAGGGUGGUCCCAGUGGAAAUUUGGGGUGCAGACUGCUUGCCUUCCUGCCAGGCUUAUCUUUGAGCAAGGUCAAAAGCACAUGCCUGCCCACUCCUUGAAAGCCUCCAAAUUUACAUGAGAAUAGCAAGGGGGUAGUGGCUGUACCCUCCUGACUCACAGUUUACAGUGAACACAAGUGACCUAGCUCACCCUUCCCCAAGCCAGAUAGGAUAAAGCAUCGUCAGUAGGUCUUUUGAGGGGUUUUGUCCCUGCCUUGUGACUGAAUGUCAAUCUGAUUGCCAAGUUUUGUUUUUCCAAAAUUGUGCUUAAAAACCUAACUACCACCUGGCCCUGCAGGUCUUUUCCUGUCUUGGAAGCCCCCUCUCCAUGCCCCUCUGGCUGGGGGCCUUUGACUCUAGUAAGUCUUGCUUUUUAAAUCUCUCUGCUUGUCCGCUUGGAAAUUCAUCUUCCAUGUGAGACAAAGAACCGAGGUC